RNAcentral lists this ribosomal RNA (421 nucleotides) under uncultured eukaryote. RNAcentral's name for it is "SSU rRNA". It matches the Rfam family "Eukaryotic small subunit ribosomal RNA", at positions 592 to 1016 of the family's 1831-position model. The record is from RNAcentral.
CAAGAGCGUAUAUUAAAGUUGUUGCAGUUAAAAGCUCGUAGUUGGAUUUCUGCUGAGGACGACCGGUCCGCCCUCCGGGUGAGCAUCUGGUUCGGCCUUGGCAUCUUCUUGGUGAACGUAUCUGCACUUGACUGUGUGGUGCGGUACCCAGGACUUUACUUUGAGGAAAUUAGAAGUGUUUCAGCAGGCAUACGCCUUGAAUACAUUAGCAUGGAAUAAUAAGAUAGGACCUCGGUUCUAUUUUGUUGGUUUCUAGAGCUGAGGUAAUGAUUAAUAGGGAUAGUUGGGGCGAUUCGUAUUUAACUGUCAGAGGUGAAAAUUCUUGGGAUUUGUUAAAGACGGACUACUGCGAAAAGCAUUUGCCAAGGAUGUUUUCAUUGAUCAAGAACGAAAGUUAGGGGAUCGAAGACGAUCAGAUACC